GGAUGCGAUCAUACCAGCACUAAAGCACCGGAUUCCAUCAGAACUGCAAAGUUAAGCGUGCUUGGGCGAGAGUAGUACUAGGAUGGGUGACCACUUGGGAAGUACUCGUGUUGCAUUCC
RNAcentral lists this ribosomal RNA (119 nucleotides) under Aegilops tauschii subsp. strangulata. The record is from RNAcentral. Lineage: Eukaryota; Viridiplantae; Streptophyta; Magnoliopsida; Poales; Poaceae.